RNAcentral lists this unclassified non-coding RNA (214 nucleotides) under fungal sp. RNAcentral's name for it is "partial internal transcribed spacer region". The stretch from base 1 to 46 matches the Rfam family "Eukaryotic small subunit ribosomal RNA", at positions 1786 to 1831 of the family's 1831-position model. The record is from RNAcentral. Lineage: Eukaryota; Fungi.
AAGUCGUAACAAGGUUUCCGUAGGUGAACCUGCGGAAGGAUCAUUACAAGAAACGAGGCUACGUGCCCCGCUCUUUACCUUGCCUACUGCACUAUCUGUUGCUUCCUGGCGGCGGUUUGCCUGCCGCCAGGGACAUUAUAAAGCCCUGCAUUAGCAUUGAAAAACUAAAACAAACCGAAUCGUACAACUUUUAACAAUGGAUCUCUUAGUUCUA